This 691-nucleotide ribosomal RNA is filed under the name uncultured bacterium. RNAcentral describes it as "bacterial SSU rRNA". It matches the Rfam family "Bacterial small subunit ribosomal RNA", at positions 59 to 704 of the family's 1533-position model. The record is from RNAcentral.
CAGUCGAGCGGCAGCGCGGGGCAACCUGGCGGCGAGCGGCGAACGGGUGAGUAAUAGAUAGGAACGUGUCCGGGAGUGGGGGAUAACUAGCCGAAAGGUUAGCUAAUACCGCAUAUUCUCUACGGAGGAAAGCGGGGGACUCCUAAACCGGGGGCAUCUGGUGGGACUGGGUGUUUCAGGUUUAGGGGCCUCGCGCUCGCGGAGUGGCCUAUCUCCGAUUAGCUAGUUGGUGAGGUAAAGGCUCACCAAGGCGACGAUCGGUAGCUGGUCUGAGAGGAUGAUCAGCCACACUGGGACUGAGACACGGCCCAGACUCCUACGGGAGGCAGCAGUGGGGAAUUUUGGACAAUGGGGGCAACCCUGAUCCAGCCAUGCCGCGUGCGGGAAGAAGGCCUUCGGGUUGUAAACCGCUUUUAUUUGGGAAGAAGGAGUGCUGGUUAAUACCCGGCAUGACAGACGGUACCGGACGAAUAAGCACCGGCUAACUACGUGCCAGCAGCCGCGGUAAUACGUAGGGUGCGAGCGUUAAUCGGAAUUACUGGGCGUAAAGCGUGCGCAGGCGGUUCGAGAAGUCAGCUGUGAAAGCCCCGGGCUUAACCUGGGAAUGGCGGUUGAAACUCUCGGACUAGAAUCUGGCAGGGGGGGGGCGGAAUUUCCACGUGUAGCAGUGAAAUGCGUAGAGAUGUGGAGA